Molecule: long non-coding RNA, 1213 nt
Filed under: Sus scrofa (pig)
Lineage: Eukaryota; Metazoa; Chordata; Mammalia; Artiodactyla; Suidae
Description: lncRNA (ENSSSCG00015072765.1)
Source: RNAcentral
GGAGUUCACAGUUCAAGAGGUCCCGGGUCACACUAAGGCCCGGGGCGGGGCGGGAGGGGACGGCGGCCGAGCGCAGCCUCUUGGGGUCCUGCGGCUGGGACGCAGCGGAGCUGAGAUGCAGCCCUAGCUUGGGCGCGCUGACCCUUCUCGGCGCUGCGCGUUUCCGCCCGCGCGCCCCGGGGCAACGCAGGAGAGUCACUGAGGCGCCCAGUUUCACCGCCCGCGGGCGGGGCGGAGACGGUCGAGCCGAGGCGGACAGGUCUGGGCUUCCUGUUUUAUGUUGUAAAGUCACGUGGGUUUUGGAUUUUGUUGUCCCAUGAUAUAACUACGAUUAAUCGAGUGAAAUUUACGCUCCAUGAAGAUGUGUCGCGUAUUUUCUGUGGCUUUUUGUACCUCCCUCCAUUCCCAUUAGUCUGUAUACUAGAACUUAGUAGAACGGCCACCUUGCUAUCUCGCUCUAAAUCCAUCUCUUUGGGUUCUCUGAAUCAUUAACCGCUUUAAACCCCAACUUUCCAGAGACCUUUAUUGUGUCGGACAGCAAAGCGCUUGUGUGAGGUGCUGGUAAUAUCUAGAGGAAAACAGUUACAGCCUCUGUCCAGCUGCCCACGCCUGGCGAAAGGAGGUUGUGCUGAGUUCAUCCUAAGGGUUAGGGUUUUCUCCCCGGUACCCUCUGGGCAGAGGAUGAUCCUCUCAACUACACCUCCUAGGAGCCAGUCUGUAGUAGAGAAUGUGAGAGGUUUUUUUAAACAGGGCCCUUUUCAAGGUUACAAAUUGCCCCAAACUUAAACUUGAAACUUAGAAGAUGAGGGUCUGCCACCUGUUUAGCCCUGUCUUAGCCAUUCUUCUCUUUAUUCAGUAACCUUGAUGAAAGUGAAAAUGUUUUAUUUCUUGAUUAGAUCAACAAAGCUUGACAAAAGCCCGCUAUGUACAAGCAUAAAAAUCUAUAACAGUGUUGGGUGUAGACAUAACUCAUUUUAUUAAAACUAGCCAUUAAAAUAGCUUCAUAAGGCAUAGUACAGUGUGUGUAAUAUGCUGCGAUUGUGGUUUUUUAAAUGAUAUACUUGUAUACUGUAUGUUUUAAAACAUAUAUUCAUGAAACUCAAUUGAGAAUACUUAGGAAAUUGUUACUAAGAGCUUGCUGUGGAAGGGAGAGUUGAGGGUCUGGCUGGUAGAAAGACUACUUUUAUGCAGUAUUAAAAGAAAACUGUUGUUU